Molecule: long non-coding RNA, 8168 nt
Organism: Grus americana (Whooping crane)
Lineage: Eukaryota; Metazoa; Chordata; Aves; Gruiformes; Gruidae
Exons: 3
Source: RefSeq, a predicted model, not a curated record
CUCUGGCCGGCUCCUCUCCGCUCCGCCCCUCCAGGGCGAAGUUUGGGGAACUUUCCCCCCACCGCAGGCGGCGCUGGGAGCCUCUCGCCCCGCUUCCCGGCCCGCCCCGCCGCCCCCGAGCGGCCUCCUCCGCCCCCGGCCCCGCUGCCGUUCUUGGCCGCGCCGGGGAGGGGGUGCGUGUGGGAGGUUGUGCCCGGCGGACGCGUGAUCGUGCGCGCUGUAACCCUGCGCGUGUGGCCAGGCGUCACGCGUGGAAGCGAAGGGUGUCCCGGCCGUGCCGUGCCGUGCCGUGCCAUGGAGAGCAGCGGGAGCUGAGCGGCCCCGGCCCCACCCGCCCCCGCUGCCAGCUCCGCGUUACCGCGCCGCUACGGCGAGGAAGCGGGAGAAACGAAGGGGUGCGUCGGAUUUCGGAUUAGCGGUGUCUGACCUUGAUUCCUUUUCUGAAGUGACCUUUAAAUCACAAGUUAUUAGUGGAAGGUUUAAAAAAAUAAUUCAGCGUUUCAUUGUUCGUGUGCAGACGUAGUUGCAAUUCCCGCUUCCCUCUCCCGUCAGUGGCGUUUCUGAUUCCAAAUUAAAUCUUGAGGAAGGAUAAAUACUUUGCCCCGGUUUCAUUUCAUCUCUGUUUAUUUUGCUUAAUUAGCAUUACGGUGCUGAGAAUGUCAAGGGCAAAUGUUUUGGUUAGUUAUUAAACAUGGAUACUUGUACAAUUCACUGUCUAAAGCAGCUCUUCCUCAUGAGAUAGAAACACAGACAGACACGAAGAUAGAGUAUAAUGUCCAUUAAGGAUUAUUAAAAGAGGAGGAAGAUUCAAAGUGAAGAUUUGAAAGUGAAUGCUGCUCCUUACUUUUAAGGCAUGAUAAAAUGGAAAGAGAGAAAUCAAGCCAGCAAAGCUGUCAUCUAGUGAAGAAACAGCAAAAAUCUGGCCUAUAUGAAAUCAAUUGGAAAAGUCUCUGCCUUGCCUCCCUGGAGGAGUCAGUCCAUGGAAGGAACAGCUACUGAAGCUAUUAGUUCAAGUGAUAAGAGUCUCCCCUGUGUCAUUAUGAAGACCUGACCUUUGCUGAUGACAUAAGUGGCAGAAACAUUAUAUGACCCCAGCAGCUUUAUGUCCUUCUGGGACCACAGUGGGAUGACAGCCAACCACUGGCACCAGUGCUGCUGGUUUUGCCCUGCUGCUGGAGUCUUGGCUGCAGGCAGCGUAUGCAGAGGCGCGCUAAGAACAGAUGUCUGUGGUACGCUGCUCGUUUUGAGAUGAACCGUUGUAGACUGCGCUGUGCAUCCCUCCCGUCUCCAAAAUGUGGGUUAGAAACUGCCUUUCUGUUUUGAGUAGGAUUCAGCUGUUUGAAGAGCCCCAUCUGUGUGAGGAAUGAAAGCACGGAUUCACAAAUGGAUGCAGCCUGAAUGUUCAAGGAGCAUUAGGAAGCAGGGGAGCCAUGUGCUGGGUGCUUGCCUUUGCGUGAAGACAUCUGCAGGUUGGCAGCGCAGGUCUGGGGUCUGAGAAGAACAGAUUCCUUGGCCGUGUUGCAUCUUAUGUCUGGCGCUCUAAAAAUGGCAUUUGGGAUCCGAAACCUGACUAGAAACAGUGGCACUUUACCGAAAACAAAUUAAUUCCCAGCAGUGUGAAAGAAGGGUGCGAGACAGGAGUUGGUCGGAAGAGUUUGUUCUUCUUUUUAGCUUACAUCUACUUGUAUCCCGCUACCCUGCCUCCCCCCCCCCCCCCCCGCCUCCCCACGACACACUGUGCCUGACAGGGAAGGUCUCCCUGUGAAUGUCAAUGAUUUACAGCAGGGUUGGGUCAGCCUCUCAUCUACAGCAAUUCACUUCACCUUGUUUUGGUAGAGUGCAGUGCCAUAAAGGUAUCCUGAUACAAAAGAAAAUAAUGCCUGGCCUCUUUUGUGCUUAAUAGCACCAGUUCCCACCCUGGAAGGAGUAUUCACAUACUUUAGGUUAGACGUGUCUUCAGUGACCUGGCAGCCAGAGGCAGAUGUUUCCCUCUUUGCGCUCCAUCUGGCAGAGAACAGGGCUGGAACCAGCCUCACCGGCUGCCAGAAGAAAGUUAGCAGAGAGCAGAAAGUUUUUAAACACUGCAGAAUUUGGCCUCACUAUUACCAAUGAAAAUAGAAAUUAAUUUCAAAGCAUUUACCCAUAAUUCUCCGCUCCUUGCUAUUUUAAGUGAGUUACUCCGUUUUGUUGUCUACAACCACCCAAAGUUUUAAAUUUAUGGGGGGGGUGUUGAUUUUUUUUUUGGUUUUGUUUUUGUUUUUUUUUUAAAGUUUCAGUUUUAUGGAAAUUGUGUGACAUCCUUGAGGGUUGGGAUCAGAUCCAAACUGUCUGUGCCAUAAUUAUUUUCAAACCUUGCUGAAUUGUGUGACAACUUUAGCUUAACGCCAGUAUUUCUGUUUAGCACAUAAGCAUCAGAUGGUGCUGUGUAUGAACAAGUGUACGUGGACAUGAUAAACUAGCAUCUCCAUAUUGACUUGGAGUGACUCCAUGUCCCUGGCUUCAAAAGUAUGCAAAUUAAGGUUUGUCAUACUGAAUUUGUCUCCUCUUCCCACUCCAAGAAAGAAGCAAGAAGAAUGUGAAUUUCAAAAUGUAGUAGCAAAAUGUGUUGGUUUUUUAAAUUGAUUUCUUAAUUAAAAUUAAUGAAUUCUGUGGCAAGAAUAGUACUUCCCAGUGGGGGGAGGACACAAAGGACUGUUGUGAGAUUUAGAAAUAGCCAUGCAAUUUGGAGACAAUAAUUUCUGUCAAAUAUUCAGCGGCCUUCCUAUCUCAAAGCACUUUAAAAUGAUGACUCUGACUUCCACUCUAUGCAUUGGUUUAUUUCUUGUAUUAAUGAGCCAUACGCAUUUAUUCUUGCUCUUGGUGGUUGUUACAUUUGCAUUUGGGAACUUUAAAAGACAAUUUAAUGUGUAGCAGGAGUUUAAUAAGGUUUUCUGAAUGCUCCUGGAUCAGGCUGACCUUUCAUAGUUAGGAGGCUGGGAACUCUGCCUUUUCCUUGCUUCAGAACUAUGUGGUUUUUGUUCAGAAAGAGAGUACAGAGAAAUUGGAAAAAAAAAAAAAAGACCCAAAAAACCAACAGCCUUCCAGAUCCCUUUGCACUGCUAGCUAUGAGGAAAGCUGAUGAGAAGUUGGGGAGAUUAUAGGGAGAAAUGCAAUGGAAAGUUAAGAAGGCUGGAGUGGAAGCUGUAAGAAAGAUGGGGAUUAAAUGUAAAUGAUCCUGAACAGAAAUUGUAAAAAUAAAAAUAAAUGGAACACCAGGAAUGCCUGCAAAAUGAUGAAAAGAAUGAUUAUUUACAAGGAAGUAUUCAGAAUGUGCAAGAAGCAGGAGCAAGGUUGAACUGCUAAAGUGAAACUGCAGAGAUGUCAGUGCAAUACAAUGGGAUUCGUAAUCCCUAGGACAAUGUAAUCAGUUGUGGAAACUCAGAUACACUCAUGUAUUACUGAAUUCAAAGGUUUGGAUACCUGAAUGCUUUCCAUGUGACUGACAUGGAAAAGAUGGGUUACACAUAAUGACGUGAAAAAUCGGUGCUCGUUUAAUGGGCAUGUUGUAUGAAAAAAGUAGCAUUUAAAGGAGAAUGGAAAGAGCAAAAGGAAACACAUGGAGUUUAUUUUUGAUGCAGUUCAUAGUGUGAUCAAACUGUGAGUACAGAGCUUUAAGAAUAUAGGCUAGGACAGAUAAUGAAUGCAAGGCAUCCUAAGUUGUCAGAGUGAAGUCUAAUACUAGUGAAACCUAUAACUCAAUUCAAAGCAUAAAAAACCUCAAACCAUAAAAAAGCAGCACUAGAAUGUAUAUGCUAGCAUCAGAGGAGAUACCACAUGCAAUAACACUGAUACUGUAAAUAUGAGAAUGACAAAACUGGGAGAAGCAAUGGGACUAAGCUCAUACCAUGACAAUGAAGAGCCAUAAAGUGGGAGGGCGAGAAUAUUUAUAGGAGGAAAGACAUCGAAAACUGCAAAAGAUAUGGGAAGACAACAACCUACAGCUUAAGUAAUAUAUAUGUCAAGCAAAAGAGGCAGAAUGAAGGAGAUGAAAUAUCAUGCAAUAAUGCAUCCAGGUCACCUAGAAACCCACUGAAAAGUCUUGAAAAACUGCUAUUACUGGGGGAUUAUUCAAUAUUUCUUGAUGUGGUAUCAGCAAUAAAAAAGGAUGACAAAAUUGAGUCUGCAUUUAGGUAAAGGUGAUUAAAUUUGAUUUUAAAUAUCAAAUUGCUAUUGGAACAGCUGAUACCACUAUUAAAAAUACCAGCAGAAAAGGAAGAAAAUAUGCAAAAACCCAGUGUGACUAUUCAUUAGCCCAUUAACACGUUCAUUUUUUUUUGGUCAAGCUUUCAGAAUACUAGACAAAGCGUCAUUGUCUAUAGGAUUAUCAGCCAUAUAAAUUCUUCGCAUAUCCACCAGAGAAUCUGAAAGAUAGUAUAAAGCAAACUAUCCAAGUGAUAUAUUUGCAAAUCUUUCAAGGCUCUGAAAGAGCAAGUACAAAACAGAGCUGAUGCUACCAGCACUGUCUUUGCUUUAAACUUCAUUGAUGUUUAGAAUAAAGGUGCUUAGAAUAGCAGUUUAGUACUAAGAAAUUAAAUAUCUUUAAAAAUAUUUAAUUAAAAUUUUAAAAUUAUUAUUUUAAGGCAUUUGCAUACCCAAGGACUUAAAAGAAAAAAAGUAAAUAUGUGAGAUUAAAAUGAAAUGAUAAAAUUCAAGGGUCUUCAGGUCCUUGGAAGAUAAUUUAGUAUUGAUAGACAUUGAUAGAGUGAGGGACAGGAAGAAAUCCGUUCCAAAAAUAGUAAGUUUCACUCUCAGGGGAGCAACAGCUACAGACUGUUCCCAGUAACAUUUUACAAGAAUGAGGCCAAGAAAUAAGGACCAGCUUCUUACCAGAAGAGUCAUCUCACUGUCUGAAGCAGCCACAGAAGACAAAAAGGGAGCAGAAUAGUAGGUAGUGAGGAUUAUUAGUAUUAGCAUUCUGUAUGUUGCAUAUGCCAAAUUUCUGGAAGGCAUAUUUAGGCUCCGUUUCUACAUGCUUCCAGUACCUAAAGGGGGCCUACAAGAAAGCUGGAGAAGGACUGUUUACAGGGGCAUGGAGUGAUAGGACAAGGGGUAGUGGCUUUAAGGUGAAGGAGGGUAGAUUUAGAUGAGAUACCAGGAAGAAAUUCUUCACUGUGAGGGUGGUGAGGCACUGGAACAGGUUGCCCAGAGAGGUGGUGGAUGCCCCAUCCCUGGAAGUGUUCAAGGCCAGGUUGGAUGAGGCUUUGGGCAACGUGGUCUAGUGGAGGGUGUCCCUGCCCAUGGCAGGGGGGUUGGAACUAGAUGGUCUUUAAGGUCCCUUCCAACCCAAACCAUUCUAUGAUUCUCUGAUAUGCUGAAGAGAUCAAUAUAAUGAAUACUUGAUUUCCUUUUGGAGGGACUAUGAAAUCUAAAUGGCAUUUUUAUCCAUCUUAUAUCUCAAGCUCAUAUAGUUUCUGACAAUAGCCAUCUAGAAGAUGAUUGAUUGAUAGAUUCCAAAAUACUGUAAUUGAAACAAUAUACAUUUUAUACAGCCAGAGAAGAGGAUAAUGCAGCAGAAAUAUUUAAUUAAGAUUAUUUUAUAUUAAUCACUUGGUUGAAUAAUUGAGUUCUUAUAUUUCAUAAAAUAAGACUGCUAUAUUAUCUAUAUUCUGCUAUAUUAUCCAUUUUAUUGCUGUCACAGAAAUACAGCGACAAUAUCCAAUGCUGAUUUGUUGGUCCAAAGUCUUUCCACAGCAGAUCAUGAUGUACUUAUUCCUAAGAGCUGGAUGUUGACUCUGGUCUAAAAAGAGACUUGCAAAAAUCCUCACUAAUUAGGUAUUUCUUCUACUGACUGUAUACUCUAAGAAGCUCGUGUUUGUUAUUUACUGCUACCUGCAUACUGAAUAAUUACACUCAAUAAAUUGUUUCCUGCUAUGCCUUUCUCAGAUGGUUGGGUAAGAUUAGUCACAGCAGAAGGUACCUUCAUCCUUUUAUAAAGGCAAUCUAUUUUUUUCCGGAAACGUAGGCAUUCAUUUAGAUGAGGGAACUGCCUGAUAAUCUAUUUUGAGUUGCAGUGUUGUUUUAAUCACCUUUUCACAUAUCUAUUGGUUGUGGAAAACAGCGUAAAUAAAGGGAAAAUUUCUUAUUUCAUGGUUUUACUUUACCUUCAAAUGUAUGUAUAUAUGAAUAUAAAACAACAUACACGUAAUAUGCUUAAAUAUAAUCUGCUUACAAGUACAUAUGUAUAGCACACACGUAUUUUAAUUGGAGGAAGAAAAGAGAAACUGUCAGAAAUCCACAUCCUUCUGUCUUGGUAAAGCCCCAGAUGUAUUCAUAAUGUAGAAAUAAUAUGAAUAACAUUGAUCCCCACUGUUCUCUUCAAUUUACUUUAUUGUGGUGCAUAAUCAAACAUUUAAUUUAAACACUGGUAAAAAUUAAUGUCUGCACUUGAGCAAGGAGGUUCUAAUGUAGCAACAUGUAUCCAGCAGCAGGACCUGAUGAAGGCUCCUGUUUAACUACAUGUCAAUUUUUUUGUAAUUGCAUUCACAGGCAAUGAGAUUUAGUAUAACUCUAUUAACCUUGAUAUAGCUCAGGAUAAACAAAUCAGAUUAUACGGGUCUGUAUAUACGUGGCAAAACUUUUCAUGUUUGACUCUAAAUUAUAUAACGUUGUGUAUUAAUGUGGACCUCCUAAAACAAGUAAGAUCAUAUACCUGAGGCACUUUGAAAUGCCUAAACUCACUUUGAAAUGAAAGUGAAUUUUAGUUACGCAAAUCUCAGUUUUCUUGCAAGUGGGAUUAUCAUUGGGUUGCUACUAUCCCUGCUUAUCUUAAAGGUGCAGGAUGGAAAGUAUAACCCAUGGGGCAAGCUGAAAGGGACUUCACUGUCUUAAAUGGUCGUUAUUAAUAUAUCUUCUCGUGAACACCUUCUAGUCCCACUCAGAUAAGUUUAGCCACAGGAAGCACAACUAUGGGCGGUAAUCCUGGUAUUGCUAUCUUCUCUCAGGCUUUGUCAGUCAAACUUCUUUUAUAAAAGUUGAUCUAAUAGUUUUAGACUUGAGCAUUGCACAUAGAUUGCUAUCAGAUGGUUACAAUAAAGAAAUAGAUUACAGUGCUUAGCUAUGAAAUUUGGCGUAGAGAAGAUGAAUUGUCAUUUAUGUUAAGCAUCAGUCUGUGAAACAGUUACGUCUCUCAGACUAGAGUCCUUUUUAAAUGUUUUCCCCCCGUAUUAGAAUUCAGUAUGUCAAAGAUUUAACAAGAAGUACUUUUAUCAAAGGUAAAGAGGGUUGCAACGUUGGCUCGUCAGUGCUUGUUUUUUUAAUGGCAGUAAUUUUGUGCAAGUAAGAGGGUGUGCAUAUGUUUUUAUGUACCAGUGAUAGUUACAUAUACUACCAAUGGUAGGCUUAUUAAUUUAUCUUCUCAAGGUUUAUAAUGUACUAAAUCUUUUAGCAGCUUCACACAUCUGCCACUUAAUUAAAACCCACCACUUACCAGAGGAAUAUUUCAUUCUUUCGUCCCCUGUCAUUAAUGAUCUAUUCAGACAUUUACCUUGUCUAAAGCCAAGGCUGGACAAUGCUAUAUCCGUCUUCAGUACUGUGCAGUUGGUUUGAAGGUUUUUUUAGGUUGACCAGACACCUGACAUCUGCAGCUCAUUUGGGUUCUUUUAUCCAGGUGGCAUCAAUCUACCCUGCAAUUAUAUGUUUAAUGCCUCUGGAAGCAAAUUCAUUCUCAGUCUCCAGCUAGGUCUAAGCUUGGAAGGUCUCUGGGUAUUUCACUUUAAAAUCAUUUGGUUGGGUGUCAAAUACUCAUUCACAUAGUUGAAGAGGCUUAAAAAUGUUACUUAUUUAAAUUCUUUUUUGUAGAUACAUACAAUUAGACUCAUCGUAAUUAGGAGCCUAAGUCGGCUCAAGCUAAUUUUAAUGGCAAAACCCCAAUUAACAUCACUGGAAAGAAUAUGAAGUCCUGGUGGCUUUGCUAGAGCCUAUGUAUACACACACAGGAAUUGCUUCAUCCAUCACUGACACUCAGCUGUCACUGUCUGUCUAGAAUACGCAUCAUCACCAGUAAAAUGUUGUUUUAUUAUUUGCCUUUCAGAACAAUCCCCAGACUUCUUGCUGGAUUUGUGGUUGCAGUUUUAUUUCCAGAGUUAUAAUGUCCUUAAAUGUACAUCUUCCAAUUUGAGAUAUGCUGCUUU